Molecule: transfer RNA, 62 nt
Filed under: Bordetella bronchiseptica MO211
Lineage: Bacteria; Pseudomonadati; Pseudomonadota; Betaproteobacteria; Burkholderiales; Alcaligenaceae
Description: tRNA Met anticodon CAT, Cove score 85.01
Rfam family: tRNA
About the family: Transfer RNA (tRNA) molecules are approximately 80 nucleotides in length. Their secondary structure includes four short double-helical elements and three loops (D, anti-codon, and T loops).
Source: RNAcentral
CGCGGGGUGGAGCAGUCUGGCAGCUCGUCGGGCUCAUAACCCGAAGGUCGUAGGUUCAAAUC